UGCNNGUCGAGCGGUAACAGACAUAAAGAUUCAGCUUGCUGAAUCCGGUGCUGACGAGCGGCGAACGGGUGAGUAACGCGUAGGAAUCUAUCCAGUAGCGGGGGAUAGCCCGAGGAAACUCGGAUUAAUACCGCAUACGCCCUGAGGGGGAAAGGGGGCAGUUUACUGCUCUCACUAUCGGAUGAGCCUGCGUAAGAUUAGCUUGUUGGUGGGGUAAUGGCCUACCAAGGCAACGAUCUUUAGCUGGUCUGAGAGGACGAUCAGCCACAUUGGGACUGAGACACGGCCCAGACAUCUACGGAUGGCAGCAGUUAAGAAUAUUGGACAAUGGGGGCAACCCUGAUCCAGGUAUACCGCGUGUGUGAAGAAGGCCCUAGGGUUGUAAAGCACUUUAAUCAGAGAAGAAGCAUUUUAAGUUAAUACCUUAAUAUGUUGACGUUACCUGAAGAAUAAGGACCGGCUAACUCCGUGCCAGCAGCCGCGGUAAUACGGAGGGUCCAAGCGUUAAUCGGAAUUACUGGGCGUAAAGCGCGCGUAGGCGGUUUAGCAAGUUGUAUGUGAAAGCCCUGGGCUCAACCUAGGAACUGCAUUCAAAACUACUAAGCUAGAGUACGAGAGAGGAGAGUAGAAUUUCUGGUGUAGCGGUGAGAUGCGUAGAUAUCAGAAGGAAUACCAAUGGCGAAGGCAGCUCUCUGGCUCGUCACUGACGCUGAGGUGCGAAAGCGUGGGUAGCANACAGGAUUAGAUACCCUGGUAGUCCACGCCGUAAACGAUGAGAACUAGCCGUUGGGCAGAUUUAACUGUUCAGUGGCACAGCUAACGCAUUAAGUUCUCCGCCUGGGGAGUACGGCCGCAAGGCUAAAACUCAAAUGAANUGANGGGGCCCGCACAAGUGGUGGANCAUGUGGNUUAAUUCGAUGCNACGCGAAGAACCUUACC
RNAcentral lists this ribosomal RNA (939 nucleotides) under uncultured bacterium. RNAcentral describes it as "bacterial SSU rRNA". It matches the Rfam family "Bacterial small subunit ribosomal RNA", at positions 56 to 975 of the family's 1533-position model. The record is from RNAcentral.